CCGCCCGUCACACUCACGAAAGUGGGUUGUACUAGAACGUCGCUGCGCUAACCGCAAGGAGGCAAGCGCCCAAGGUAUGACUCAUGAUUGGGGUG
This 95-nucleotide ribosomal RNA is filed under the name uncultured bacterium. RNAcentral describes it as "partial 16S ribosomal RNA". The record is from RNAcentral.